Molecule: ribosomal RNA, 428 nt
Filed under: Shigella flexneri
Lineage: Bacteria; Pseudomonadati; Pseudomonadota; Gammaproteobacteria; Enterobacterales; Enterobacteriaceae
Also listed under: 1 other name
Description: partial 23S ribosomal RNA
Rfam family: Bacterial large subunit ribosomal RNA
Source: RNAcentral
CGUGACGGCGCGAGCAGGUGCGAAAGCAGGUCAUAGUGAUCCGGUGGUUCUGAAUGGAAGGGCCAUCGCUCAACGGAUAAAAGGUACUCCGGGGAUAACAGGCUGAUACCGCCCAAGAGUUCAUAUCGACGGCGGUGUUUGGCACCUCGAUGUCGGCUCAUCACAUCCUGGGGCUGAAGUAGGUCCCAAGGGUAUGGCUGUUCGCCAUUUAAAGUGGUACGCGAGCUGGGUUUAGAACGUCGUGAGACAGUUCGGUCCCUAUCUGCCGUGGGCGCUGGAGAACUGAGGGGGGCUGCUCCUAGUACGAGAGGACCGGAGUGGACGCAUCACUGGUGUUCGGGUUGUCAUGCCAAUGGCACUGCCCGGUAGCUAAAUGCGGAAGAGAUAAGUGCUGAAAGCAUCUAAGCACGAAACUUGCCCCGAGAUGA